RNAcentral lists this unclassified non-coding RNA (386 nucleotides) under Hevea brasiliensis (rubber tree). The record is from RNAcentral. Lineage: Eukaryota; Viridiplantae; Streptophyta; Magnoliopsida; Malpighiales; Euphorbiaceae.
GGUAGUAGUAGCAGUACCCCUGCUACCACCAACAUCAUCACCUUAUUACCACCACCACUGCUGCAACUGCCACCACCUCACCAUUGAUGCUACUACCAGUACCAUAACCCUACCAAUGAUGCUGCCAAAACCAUCAUCACCACCACCAAUUCAAACAUUAAUUGAGUAAAAAAAUGGGUUAGCGUUGAUUUGAUAAAAAGUAAAAGUCACAUGUUUACCAAACAUGCUUUUUAUUAGAGUUUUGCUAGGUGUAGUGACUCACUAUGAUGAACAAUAUCAUAGCGAGUUACAGAAUUUUCAUAUGUUUCUUUCUCUUUUUUUAUUUAGGUUAUUUACUUUUUGUAUUUGUUAUUCAUUCUGUAUUUGUUAUUCACUUUUUGUAUUUU